GAUGAACGCUGGCGGCGUGCCUAAUACAUGCAAGUCGAGCGAACAGACGAGGAGCUUGCUCCUCUGACGUUAGCGGCGGACGGGUGAGUAACACGUGGAUAACCUACCUAUAAGACUGGGAUAACUUCGGGAAACCGGAGCUAAUACCGGAUAAUAUAUUGAACCGCAUGGUUCAAUAGUGAAAGACGGUUUUGCUGUCACUUAUAGAUGGAUCCGCGCCGCAUUAGCUAGUUGGUAAGGUAACGGCUUACCAAGGCAACGAUGCGUAGCCGACCUGAGAGGGGGAUCGGCCACACUGGAGCUGGGACACGGUCCAGACGCCUACGAGAGGCAGCAGUAGGGAAUCUUCCGCAAUGGGCGAAAGCCUGACGGAGCAACGCCGCGUGAGUGAUGAAGGUCUUCGGAUCGUAAAACUCUGUUAUUAGGGAAGAACAAAUGUGUAAGUAACUAUGCACGUCUUGACGGUACCUAAUCAGAAAGCCACGGCUAACUACGUG
This 497-nucleotide ribosomal RNA is filed under the name uncultured bacterium. Its description in RNAcentral is "partial 16S ribosomal RNA". It matches the Rfam family "Bacterial small subunit ribosomal RNA", at positions 28 to 507 of the family's 1533-position model. The record is from RNAcentral.